RNAcentral lists this unclassified non-coding RNA (505 nucleotides) under Hevea brasiliensis (rubber tree). The record is from RNAcentral. Lineage: Eukaryota; Viridiplantae; Streptophyta; Magnoliopsida; Malpighiales; Euphorbiaceae.
AAAAGAAUUUGGAACAUAAAGGCUUUAAUAGCAUGAGAUGCAUACUGUAAAAAAACCCCAGACAACACUUAGUUACAUUAUUGGAAUUGCAGAGAAGAUAGCAAUGACUCCAGGAAGAGCAUACCGUGUCAUUAGCAAUGGUGUCUCAAUAACAAGAUUCAAACUUUUCUUACUGUUCUUUGAAGCUCUAACUUUAAGAAAUGUAUUGCAAUAACAAAAAGGCAUGCUCAAAAAUUUAACAUGUUUGUCAUCAAUUCAUGAUUAAACUUUCCUUCGGAGAAAAAAAAAAGGAGAGAAAGUAUUCAAUCAGCCCAUUGAACCAAGUCAGCAUGCUGAUUUUAUGCAACGAGCCAACCAUAAAAAGCCAAGAUGCUUGAUUUCCCAUACCCUUUUGCUUACUUUAAAAUACCCUCCCAUUAGUUACCCUGAUUCCACUUCCACAUUAUACACUAUAAACAACUGUAACAUUCAAUUUCAAGAGGAAACCCAAAGAAACUAAUCACAG